GCACAGUCAUGCCCCAAUAGCCUGUCCAGACAGAUUGCGAGAGGGGAAUCCGGUGCAAGUCCGGAGCGGUCGCGCCACUGUAACCGAAACACCGUUUCGGGAGCCAGACCCCCGAUUGCCGCUGAUCAACU
RNAcentral lists this non-coding RNA (131 nucleotides) under Celeribacter indicus. Lineage: Bacteria; Pseudomonadati; Pseudomonadota; Alphaproteobacteria; Rhodobacterales; Roseobacteraceae. The record is from RNAcentral.